GCCGAGUAGUGUUGGGUCGCGAAAGGC
Molecule: unclassified non-coding RNA, 27 nt
Filed under: synthetic construct
Source: RNAcentral